AGAGUUUGAUCAUGGCUCAGGACGAACGCUGGCGGCGUGCUUAACACAUGCAAGUCGAGCGGUAAGGCCCUUCGGGGUACACGAGCGGCGAACGGGUGAGUAACACGUGAGCAAUCUGCCCUCCACAUCGGGAUAACCCCCGGAAACGGGAGCUAAUACCGGAUACGACCACUUCAGGCAUCUGAUGGUGGUGGAAAGUUCUGGCGGUGGAGGAUGAGCUCGCGGCCUAUCAGCUUGUUGGUGGGGUAAUGGCCCACCAAGGCUUCGACGGGUGGCCGGCCUGAGAGGGUGACCGGCCACACUGGGACUGAGACACGGCCCAGACUCCUACGGGAGGCAGCAGUGGGGAAUAUUGGACAAUGGGCGAAAGCCUGAUCCAGCAACGCCGCGUGAGGGAUGACGGCCUUCGGGUUGUAAACCUCUUUCAGCGCAGACGAAGCGAAAGUGACGGUAUGCGCAGAGGAAGCACCGGCCAACUACGUGCCAGCAGCCGCGGUAAUACGUAGGGUGCGAGCGUUGUCCGGAAUUAUUGGGCGUAAAGAGCUCGUAGGCGGCUCGUCGCGUCGACCGUGAAAACCCGCAGCUUAACUGCGGGCUUGCGGUUGAUACGGGCGGGCUAGAGUUCGGUAGGGGAGACUGGAAUUCCUGGUGUAGCGGUGAAAUGCGCAGAUAUCAGGAGGAACACCGGUGGCGAAGGCGGGUCUCUGGGCCGAUACUGACGCUGAAGAGCGAAAGCGUGGGGAGCGAACAGGAUUAGAUACCCUGGUAGUCCACGCUGUAAACGUUGGGCGCUAGGUGUGGGGGGCCUCUCCGGUUCUCUGUGCCGCAGCUAACGCAUUAAGCGCCCCCCCUGGGGAGUAC
RNAcentral lists this ribosomal RNA (861 nucleotides) under uncultured bacterium. RNAcentral's name for it is "bacterial SSU rRNA". It matches the Rfam family "Bacterial small subunit ribosomal RNA", at positions 8 to 883 of the family's 1533-position model. The record is from RNAcentral.